GAUUGCUGGUUCCUCUUCUCUCAACUCGGGUCUCUACCCUCUUCUGCCACGUGUUCCAUGUUCCUGCAGAGCUAGGAGAUUCUUACCUUUGCUGUGGAUCUAACUCCCUUCCACACACAUAAGCAGCAGAUGACCCAGGACAGAAGAAGGCACAAAGAAAGGUCCCACCGAAUGCUUCCCAAGGCCUCUAUGCCGGAGGACCUCCGUUUGAAGAAACAGAGGAUGGUUCUUACUGAAGACUCAAGCUGCAUUGGAAAGUGCUGGCCCAUGGCAACUUUCCAGAGAAUGAGAAGAAGAAGUAAAGGAAGGCCCAGGCUAGGAUCACAACGUAGCUGAUGUUUCCAAAGAAAAUGAUAAUCUGGCUGGCAUACCCCAUACCUGGAAAUACCCAAUCAUUUCUAUUGGAUUACUUCAUAAUUGUCACCUUAUCUUACUGCACUCUGCUCACUCUCUGAUUGAUCAGGCAGUUUGCUCACCUUCAAACAAGGGGCAGAUCUUCCUCCAGCACAUGAUUCCUCCCUGACUAGUGUACUGGCCCAGUGAUGUUUCCAGGACAAACAGAGGAACGCCGCAGGUGACAAGAAAGAGGAAGUAAGGGACGAAGAAUGCACCUGCAAGUGACAGUAAAGUCUAUAAACACUGUUACCGAACAGACUCUUGAAUGAUGCAUACCAUGAAUAACUAUACUUUAGUUUUGAAAAGAACACCCCUGCCUGUGCUGUGCAGUGUCUGCAGACAAAAGUAAGUGGUGACCAAGAGCACCUCACAAAAAGGUCGAUCUCACUGAACAGAGCUAAUUUUAAGUUGUCUAAAUUUGAGUCCAACAAAUUCUUAAAAAAUGGUGAUCGUCUCCAUCGAAACAAUUUUUUAAUUCAGACGUUGCAUCAGUUGUUUUAUAAUUCACAGCUGGAAAUGUAGCUGAAAAUCACCAAUGACCUAUGUAGCUUUUCUUUGUAAGUGGAACAAAAUUUGGUUACUGAUCUUCUACACUUCAGUCUAAACAUAAGAUAAGACGUUAUUGAUCUCACAAUGGAGAAAUUAAAUUGUUACAGCAGCUCUUAGUAACACACAAGUAGGGUGCAAAUAGGGAUGCAAUGCAAUCAAAGAAGAACAAGGUAAAUGUGCAAAACCAGAAAAAAUAAUUAUAGAGUAAAGGUAACAUAUGUACAAUAAAUCCAUCAAUAAAUGGAGGUGAUUGUGUUAAAUUGACAA
This is a long non-coding RNA of Girardinichthys multiradiatus, 1212 nucleotides long. RefSeq lists it as uncharacterized. The record is from RefSeq and is a predicted model, not a curated record. NCBI's taxonomy places the organism in Eukaryota, Metazoa, Chordata, Actinopteri, Cyprinodontiformes, Goodeidae. The transcript has 4 exons.